GUGGUUAUGAUAUUGUUGUUUACUAUAUGACUCUCUGUGAAGCGCAUGGACUUGAAUGUAGAUGAAUUUAAAAUUUCAUUCUUUAGAAUGUCCGUGCAGUAUUUACGGCCUACCACCAACACAUUUUUGGCUGCUUUGUCGGCCGGUACAAACACAAACCGCUUUGAAAGUUCUUGAAGUUUAUUUCUUAUUCUGGAAAUAGGUGUUUU
This 209-nucleotide long non-coding RNA is filed under the name Mytilus galloprovincialis (Mediterranean mussel). Lineage: Eukaryota; Metazoa; Mollusca; Bivalvia; Mytilida; Mytilidae. The record is from RNAcentral.